CCCUUAGAUGUUCUGGGCCGCACGCGCGCUACACUGACAGAGCCAGCGAGUCUACCACCUUUGCCGGAAGGCAUGGGUAAUCUUGUGAAACUCUGUCGUGAUGGGGAUAGAACAUUGCAAUUAUUGUUCUUCAACGAGGAAUACCUAGUAAGCGUGAUUCAUCAGAUCGCGUUGAUUACGUCCCUGCCCUUUGUACACACCGCCCGUCGCUACUACCGAUUGAAUGGCUUAGUGAGGCCUCCGGAUUGGCUAUUGGGAGCUCGCGAGAGCACCCGACUGCCGAGAAGUUGUACGAACUUGGUCAUUUAGAGGAAGUAAAAGUCGUAACA
RNAcentral lists this ribosomal RNA (329 nucleotides) under uncultured eukaryote. Its description in RNAcentral is "partial 18S ribosomal RNA". It matches the Rfam family "Eukaryotic small subunit ribosomal RNA", at positions 1470 to 1796 of the family's 1831-position model. The record is from RNAcentral.